GGUAGUAUGGCCGAGCAGUCUAAGGCGCUGGAUUUAAGUUCCAGUCUCUUCAGAGACGUGGGUUCGCAAUCCCACUACUACCA
Non-coding RNA from Chiloscyllium plagiosum (whitespotted bambooshark), 83 nucleotides. The record is from the annotation of a RefSeq genome assembly. Lineage: Eukaryota; Metazoa; Chordata; Chondrichthyes; Orectolobiformes; Hemiscylliidae.